RNAcentral lists this ribosomal RNA (439 nucleotides) under uncultured soil bacterium. Its description in RNAcentral is "partial 16S ribosomal RNA". It matches the Rfam family "Bacterial small subunit ribosomal RNA", at positions 338 to 769 of the family's 1533-position model. The record is from RNAcentral. RNAcentral also lists the same sequence under 1 other name.
CCUACGGGAGGCAGCAGUAGGGAAUCUUCCGCAAUGGACGAAAGUCUGACGGAGCAACGCCGCGUGAGUGAUGAAGGCUUUCGGGUCGUAAAACUCUGUUGUUAGGGAAGAACAAGUACAAGAGUAACUGCUUGUACCUUGACGGUACCUAACCAGAAAGCCACGGCUAACUACGUGCCAGCAGCCGCGGUAAUACGUAGGUGGCAAGCGUUAUCCGGAAUUAUUGGGCGUAAAGCGCGCGCAGGCGGUUUCUUAAGUCUGAUGUGAAAGCCCACGGCUCAACCGUGGAGGGUCAUUGGAAACUGGGGAACUUGAGUGCAGAAGAGAAAAGCGGAAUUCCACGUGUAGCGGUGAAAUGCGUAGAGAUGUGGAGGAACACCAGUGGCGAAGGCGGCUUUUUGGUCUGUAACUGACGCUGAGGCGCGAAAGCGUGGGGAGC